AACGAACGCUGGCGGCAUGCCUAACACAUGCAAGUCGAACGAGACCUUCGGGUCUAGUGGCGCACGGGUGCGUAACGCGUGGGAACCUGCCUUUAGGUUCGGAAUAACUCAGAGGAAAUUUGAGCUAAUACCGGAUAAAUGUCUUCGGACCAAAGAUUUAUCGCCUUUAGAUGGGCCCGCGUUGGAUUAGCUAGUUGGUGGGGUAAAGGCCUACCAAAGGCGACGAUCCAUAGCUGGUCUGAGAGGAUGAUCAGCCACACUGGGACUGAGACACGGCCCAGACUCCUACGGGAGGCAGCAGUGGGGAAUAUUGGACAAU
RNAcentral lists this ribosomal RNA (319 nucleotides) under uncultured bacterium. Its description in RNAcentral is "bacterial SSU rRNA". It matches the Rfam family "Bacterial small subunit ribosomal RNA", at positions 29 to 372 of the family's 1533-position model. The record is from RNAcentral.